Non-coding RNA from Paramuricea clavata, 428 nucleotides. The record is from the annotation of a GenBank genome assembly. Lineage: Eukaryota; Metazoa; Cnidaria; Anthozoa; Malacalcyonacea; Plexauridae.
CUGCUGUUGUACAGUAUAAAAAUUAUGAGAAUUCUUUCGGUGGACGCUCUUGUGUCAGAAAGAUGCAGUCAUCUUUUGCUGACAGAUUAAGAAGAUGUAGUCAUCUUUGCUUAAUCAGUUGAAGCUCAAAGUCGUAUCAUAAUUAUUACACAGCAACUUAUAUCUAAAUGAAAAGUAUAAUAAAUUCUAUAAUUUUAUCAUAAGUUACUAUUCAAGACAUAAAAAAUACACUGCUGUUGUACAGUAUAAAAAUUAUGAGAAUUCUUUCAGUGGACGCUCUUGUGUCAGAAAGAUGCAGUCAUCUUUUGCUGACAGAUUAAGAAGAUGAAGUCAUCUUUGCUUAAUCAGUUGAAGCUCAAAGUCGUAUCAUAAUUAUUACACAGCAACUUAUAUCUAAAUGAAAAGUAUAAUAAAUUCUAUAAUUUUAU